UACAGAGGGUGCAAGCGUUGUUCGGAAUUACUGGGCGUAAAGCGUGCGCAGGCGGUUAUGUAAGACAGGGGUGAAAUCCCCGGGCUUAACCUGGGAACUGCAUUUGUGACUGCAUAGCUAGAGUACGGUAGAGGUUGAUGGAAUUCCAGGUGUAGCGGUGAAAUGCGUAGAUAUCUGGAAGAACACCAGUGGCGAAGGCGGUCAACUGGCCCGUAACUGACGCUGAGGCACGAAAGCGUGGGGAGCGAACAGG
Molecule: ribosomal RNA, 253 nt
Filed under: uncultured bacterium
Lineage: Bacteria
Description: partial 16S ribosomal RNA
Rfam family: Bacterial small subunit ribosomal RNA
Source: RNAcentral